Molecule: RNA transcript, 5706 nt
Organism: Ictalurus furcatus (blue catfish)
Lineage: Eukaryota; Metazoa; Chordata; Actinopteri; Siluriformes; Ictaluridae
Gene name: vesicle-fusing ATPase-like
Exons: 26
Source: RefSeq, a predicted model, not a curated record
GAUGGGAAGGAGUAUAGAGCUGAUAGCACGGAGUGUGGGACUAAUAGCAUGGACUGUGGAUCUAAGCAUGGAGUUCUCCCAUCUCUACUGAGAACUUCUGAAGCUCUUUUAGAGUGGUCAUAGGGUUCUUGUUCAUUUCACCACAGGUGGACUCCAGUCAAGUUCUAGAGACAGCUCAAGAUAAUAAAAAUAAACAGAUGUACCUUUGUUCAGUUUGGAGUAGCUAAGGAUCUGGCUACUUAGAUUGGCACCCUGUCCAGGGUGUAUCCCACCUCAUGCCUGAUGCUCCCUGGGAUAGGCUCCAGGUUCCCCCGUGACCCUGAAAAGUAUAAGCGGUAUAGAAGAUGGAUGGAUGUUACAUUGCAUGAGAAGUCAAAAAGAUGCAGUUAAGGAAGGAGGAGAGAGCACAUGUUAGCAUAUGUCAGCACGUGUCACCCUCUGCGGUUGGCAUAUGAUAAGGGAGAGCUGGCUGACGAUGCAAGCGGCUCGAUGCCCUACUGAUGAGCUGUCAUUAACAAACUGCGCAGUGGUGAGUGAGAAGGACCUGCAGUCUGGACAGCAUGUGAGUGUUAAAACCACUCCAAACCACAAGUUUGUGUUCACAGUGAAGAGUCAUCACACGGUAACACCUGGAACUGUAGCAUUCAGCUUACCACAGAGGAAAUGGGCCGGACUCUCUAUUGGACAGGAAGUGGAAGUAACAAACUAUAAUUUUGACAAAUCAAAGCAGUGUAUCGGUGCAAUGAUGAUCGAGAUCGACUUCCUGCAGAAGAAAAGCACUGACACAUCCCCAUAUGAUUCUGAUAAAAUGGCGAGUGAAUUCAUUCAGCAGUUCAAUAACCAGGCCUUCACCGUGGGACAGCAGUUGGUGUUCAGUUUCUGUGAUAAACUUUUUGGCCUGGCAGUGAAGAAUAUUGAGGCAAUGGAUGCGAGCAUACUGAAGGGAGAGACAGCGACUGGAAAAAAACAAAAGAUUGAGAUUGGUCUGUUGGUGGGUAACAGUCAGGUGAUCUUUGAGAAAGCCGAAAGUUCCUCCCUUACACUUGUUGGAAAGGCCAAAACCAAAGAAGCACGUCAGACAAUUAUUAAUCCGGACUGGAACUUUGAGCGCAUGGGCAUCGGCGGCCUGGAUAAAGAGUUUUCAGACAUCUUCCGGAGAGCAUUCGCCUCACGAGUCUUUCCUCCUGACAUAGUGGAACAGAUGGGAUGUAAGCAUGUUAAAGGUAUUCUCCUCUUCGGUCCUCCUGGUUGUGGUAAGACUCUGAUGGCGAGACAGGUCGGUAAGAUGUUGAACGCCCGUGAGCCGAAAGUCGUAAACGGACCAGAGAUUCUCAAUAAGUAUGUCGGAGAGUCUGAGGCCAACAUCAGGAAACUGUUCGCCGAUGCUGAGGAGGAGCAGAAGAGGUUGGGUGCUAACAGCGGGCUGCACAUUAUCAUUUUUGAUGAGUUGGAUGCCAUCUGUAAGCAGCGUGGUACAGCAGCAAGCAGCACCGGAGUCCAUGACACUGUGGUCAAUCAGCUGCUAUCCAAAAUUGACGGUGUGGAGCAACUCAACAAUAUCCUUGUUAUAGGAAUGACUAACAGACCCGAUCUAAUAGACGAUGCUUUGAUGAGACCCGGCAGGUUUGAAGUGAAAAUGGAGAUCGGUCUGCCGGAUGAGAAGGGUCGCCUCCAGAUCCUCAGCAUUCACACGGCUAAAAUGCGUGAGUUUAACCUGCUAGCGUCGGAUGUGGACCUGAAGGAACUGUCAAUUGAAACAAAGAACUACAGUGGUGCUGAACUGGAGGGAUUAGUGAGAGCUGCACAAUCAACCGCCAUGAACCGACACAUCAAGGCCACAGCCACAGUGGAAGUAGACCUGGAGAAAGCUGAGAAACUGCAGGUGUGCAGAGCUGAUUUUAUGGGAUCGCUAAACAAUGACAUCAAACCUGCGUUUGGUACGAAUCAGGAGGAUUAUGCGAGCUACAUUAUGAACGGCAUUAUUAAAUGGGGCGAUCCAGUGAGUCAUGUGCUGGAUGAUGGAGAGCUGCUUGUUCAACAAACCAAAAACAGCGACAGAACUCCGCUGGUAUCCGUGCUGGUUGAAGGUCCUUCUCACAGCGGGAAAACAGCGUUAGCUGCUAAAAUCGCAGAAGAUUCAGAGUUUCCUUUCAUUAAGAUCUGCAGCCCUGAUAAAAUGAUUGGCUUCUCUGAGAUUUCAAAAUGCCAAGCCAUCAAAAAGAUUUUUGAUGAUGCUUAUAAGUCCCAGCUCAGCUGUGUGGUGGUGGACGACAUUGAGCGCCUGCUGGAUUACGUUCCCAUUGGCCCAAGAUUCUCUAACCUCGUCCUCCAAGCACUGCUGGUUUUACUGAAGAAAGCACCACCUCAUGGCCGUAAGCUGCUCAUCAUCGGCACCACAAGUCGUAAAGACGUCCUGCAGGAGAUGGGGAUGCUCGACGCCUUCAGCACUACCAUACACAUCCCCAACAUCAGCAGCGGAGAGCACCUGGUGGAGGCGCUAGAGCUGUUGGGCAGCUUCACGGAUGCAGAAAGAGCAACUAUCGCCCAGCAGGUAAAGGGAAAGAGAGUGUGGAUUGGAAUUAAGAAACUCCUCAUGCUCAUCGAGAUGUCCCUGCAGAUGGAUCAGGAGUAUCGUGUCAGCAAAUUCCUCUCUCUGCUGCGGGAUGAGGGAGCGUUGGAUGAGAGCAGUCACAUCCUAAUUUAACAUCUCCAUGCCUACUGAGGCCCAUGUUGCACAGCAGAGGUAUUCAAACUGUGGGACGUGCAGGAAAAAAGAAACCAGCAGAUGAGCCAGUUGACAUUUGUGCAGGCAUUUUGAACUUGCUGAUUUAGAGUGGUCCAGGAAUGAGUCCUAACACCCGGAAAUGAGUUAGCAUUUUAGCACUUCCAGUUCCAUCGUCCCGAAGUCAGUGGGUUUUUUUUAAUGGGUUUUUGGUUAAAUGCCUGAAAUAAGGUCUGUGGUUAAUACAAGCUCAAGAUAUUUUCACGUUUUAUUCUACGACAUCAAAUACAUCAGUAAUACCCGACUUGUGAUUUUUUUAAAGCUUAUACGUGUUUUGAAAAAGACGGUUGCUAACAAGAGGCUAAAUGGGACUACAGAGGUUGACGGGAAAAUUAAACAUCAUCAUGCGGAAGAGGAAAACUCAUCUACUACAUCCUCGUCGUGUUAAUACUCACACGUUUUUUUUUUGCGUUUUUUCCAUUUAUUUUACCAUUUUUUUCACCAUUGCAUAAAUUAAAUAGUCAAAAUGUGCUUUUUACUAUUUUGUCUUGCUUUUCAAAGAAAAAAAAUCAAUUACAAAAACUACAAUUUCAAAAUAUUUAUUUAACACUGAACAUUUUUUUUCAUUCCAGCAGGCAUAGGCUACCAACAAGGCACAAUAUAACUUUAAAUAAAUAAAUGAGUAAAAUAAAAAUAUUUUGAUGUGGUCAUCUUUGAGCCCCCCUUGAAUAGCCUAUGUUAGGCAUAUAACUGACUGCUUAAAGAAUGUAACACUCUGUAGCCUACAACUAAAAAGUGCAUUAUAAAGUGCAUUGACAAGAGUGCAAAAAAUGGUUCUAUUGGGUUCUAUAUGGCUGAUUAUAUUCGGCAUAUAUACCGCUCGCGUCCCUGUACACCUUGUGGAGUAUUAUAGUAGAUAUAGUAAAGUUAGAUACCUUGUUAAUGUUCUGUUCCCUUAAAUAAAUACGUCUUUACCUGCUUCCGUACUCUACUCCCUUACGUCUCGCGACGUGACAGAAUACUCUGGAACAGAAACAAAACAAAUGCACGUGUCCACAGUAAACAAUGUCACGGUUGUCAACAUCCGAAGAGCAUGCACUCGUGCACGUAGCUCGUCUAUGCGCACGCCCCCUCAUCGCUCCAAGUGCGCUGCCAGAAGUGCAGGUCGUGAAAUUCGCGCAUCUCACUCUGGUUGCUAGGCUAUGUGGCACGUCAUCAAACACGUCAUUGUUCGGUCAAAUUUAUUCGGCCGAACACUGAAAGUGCUUUUUUUGCUAUUUUCGGCCGAAUAAUUUCGGUUGCCGAACAUUCAGUGCAUCCCUAAUAUUUAACAUUGUGGGAUGACUACGCAGAUCUGGGCCAAGACGCAUCCUGUGACGUCAUCACAACACGAAUUCAGCCAAAGCCCCCUUGGAUUCACGUGUAUCGAACAUGAGUACAGCUAAAAAGAUCACGGCUUCUAAGAGGAAAGAGUGAAGCUCCGACUCACACCUCAUCAUUCUGUACCCUUCGUCGUAACCCCCUCACACACACACACACCACAGUGUGUGUAGUGUCUUGUGCUUUGUGAGCUACUGUUCUGGAUAUUUAAUAAAUACAGUAUAUAAAGAUGUACAAACUCAUCACUAUACACACUAUUCUGUAUUGUGCAUGUGUGUGUGAAUGUGUCAUAUAUUUAGAGCUUCUAUAUCAUGCAGGUGGGUGAUAUGUGAGUGAAAUCUUGAAAUCUAAGUGCGUAGUUGUGUUGUAACACACACUGAUGAUGUUACAUUGAUGACUGAGUUUUGGUGUACAUUUACACUGUGCUCUGUGUGUGCGUUUGUGUGUGUGUGUGUGUGUGUGUGUGUGUGUGUGUGUGUGUUAGAGCUUUAAUCAGGACUGAAAUGUUGAUCGUGAUAACGUUCUAUCCGACCUGACCUGGCCCACCACACCAGACACUAAGAGAUCACCAGAGAUCUAGAUUUUAAAAUCCAAAGCUAGUGUUACAGGAGCACCUCUUAGCACUGGUUAGCAGAUCUUUACAGACUCUUUCUUGUCAUCUUUUACCACUCAUCCCCUUGUUCAUACAUAUGAAAUGAUUGUUAAACGUACACCUAAAAAAAAACUUUUUUAACUGCUUUAAAAGUUACAAGAGUCACAGAUGUUCACUUAUGCUUUUAUUGUCUGUUAUAUGUGCUAAGCUAGCUAAUUUAAUAAUUAGGUGUUAGCUAGCUAGCUGAUUCUCUCUGCAAAGUUUAGCUGGCGAUGUUAGUGCGCUAGAGUUGCCUGUUUUAUGUGAUGAGGUUAAUUAGUCUCAGCUCUCUAAACCGCCAUGCAACUGAGUAACUGUGUACACAAUGUCGAUGUGGAGCGCUAGAGCUCAUUUGUAGUUAGACUAGUCUGCUAACUUUUAAACAACAUUGUCAACCCUCGCACAUGAACACUACAGAACACUGAGUUCAGGGGUUUUCAUUUAAAUGCAUGAUUUAAACUUGUGCUGUGUGAGCUUUAUUAUGGAGCAAACUAAUGGCUGUAAGGGACAAAAUGCAAGUCAAAACCUGUUAAAUGUGUGUGUGUGUGUGUGUGUGUGUGCGUGUUUAGGUGGUGGGAUGGAAAACUUUCAAAAAGAGAAGUAUUUGACAAACGAAUGGUUCAGUCAGCCAGCUCAAGCUUUAGUGUGUGUGUAUGUGUGUGUGAGUGCGUGUGUCCUGAAGCCAGUGUUUAUAUCACCCGAGUAUUUUGAUGUGUAUAAAAUGAACAAUCUGAAAUAUAUCUCUCUCCCUGUCUUGCUCUAGUGUCUCUCACUUUCUAAAUCCACCAUGUAUGUGUGUGAGAGAGUGAGAUUGUAAUGUUGUUUGGUGUGCAUUAAAUAUUGUUUAGUAAUGAUCAAUGAUGACUUAUUUAUUUGGCUUGUGUACUGCUCAGUGAUUAGUGCUUGAUGUUCACAGAUGUGAUGUCAUGAAUAUUAAUAUUGUGUUACUGCAAUAAACACACACAGACAGAAA